UGGGGAAUAUUGGACAAUGGGGGGAACCCUGAUCCUGCCAUGCCGCGUGUGUGAAGAAGGCCUUAUGGUUGUAAAGCACUUUAAGCGAGGAGGAGGGUACUGGUAUUAAUACUACCAGCUACUGGACGUUACUCGCAGAAUAAGCACCGGCUAACUCUGUGCCAGCAGCCGCGGUAAUACAGAGGGUGCGAGCGUUAAUCGGAUUUACUGGGCGUAAAGCGUGCGUAGGCGGCUAAUUGAGUCGGAUGUGAAAUCCCCGAGCUUAACUUGGGAAUUGCAUUCGAUACUGGUUAGCUAGAGUGUGGGAGAGGAUGGUAGAAUUCCAGGUGUAGCGGUGAAAUGCGUAGAGAUCUGGAGGAAUACCGAUGGUGAAGGCAGCCAUCUGGCCUAACACUGACGCUGAGGUACGAAAGCAUGGGGAGCAAACAGG
This 430-nucleotide ribosomal RNA is filed under the name Pseudomonadota bacterium. RNAcentral's name for it is "Proteobacteria bacterium partial 16S ribosomal RNA". It matches the Rfam family "Bacterial small subunit ribosomal RNA", at positions 355 to 776 of the family's 1533-position model. Lineage: Bacteria; Pseudomonadati; Pseudomonadota. The record is from RNAcentral.